UGGGGAANUUUCCGCAAUGGGCGAAAGCCUGACGGAGCAAUACCGCGUGAGGGAGGAAUGCCUUUGGGUUGUAAACCUCUUUUCUCAGGGAAGAAGAUCUGACGGUACCUGAGGAAUAAGUAUCGGCUAACUCCGUGCCAGCAGCCGCGGUAAUACGGAGGAUGCAAGCGUUAUCCGGAAUCAUUGGGCGUAAAGCGUCCGCAGGUGGUUUCCAAAGUCUGCUGUUAAAGACUGGAGCUCAACUCCGGAACGGCGGUGGAAACUUGGAAACUAGAGUUCGGUAGGGGUAGCAGGAAUUCCCAGUGUAGCGGUGAAAUGCGUAGAUAUUGGGAAGAACAUCGGUGGCGAAGGCGUGCUACUGGACCGUAACUGACACUCAGGGACGAAAGCUAGGGGAGCGAAAGGGAUUAGAUACCCCUGUAGUCCUAGCUGUAAACGAUGGAAACUAGGUGUGGCUUGA
Molecule: ribosomal RNA, 460 nt
Filed under: uncultured marine microorganism
Description: bacterial SSU rRNA
Rfam family: Bacterial small subunit ribosomal RNA
Source: RNAcentral